UGUUUUUGCUUUUAAAUGGUUGUGCGAAGUGUACCAUGUGUACCUUUUUGUGGAAAAGAGUUUGAAGUCUUGUUGGGUUUGUCACAAUAUGCCUGUUGCCUAACACUACAGAAAGUGUUCUUAUCUGGCGACCACACUGGAUAGGUGGUAGUUUGGUCUCACU
Fukomys damarensis (Damara mole-rat) is the source of this 163-nucleotide unclassified non-coding RNA. Lineage: Eukaryota; Metazoa; Chordata; Mammalia; Rodentia; Bathyergidae. The record is from Ensembl.